This 414-nucleotide ribosomal RNA is filed under the name uncultured microorganism. RNAcentral describes it as "bacterial SSU rRNA". It matches the Rfam family "Archaeal small subunit ribosomal RNA", at positions 459 to 872 of the family's 1478-position model. The record is from RNAcentral.
CAGCCGCCGCGGUAAUACCGGCGGCCCGAGUGGCGGUCACUAUUAUUGGGCUUAAAGCGUCCGUAGCCGGGUUGGGAAGUCCUCCGGGAAAUCUGGCCGCUUAACGGUCAGAAUGCCGGAGGAUACUCCCAGCCUUGGGAGCGGGAGAGGCCGAGGGUAUUCCCGGAGUAGGGGGGAAAUCCUAUAAUCCCGGGAGGACCACCUGUGGCGAAGGCGCUCGGCUGGAACGCGUCCGACGGGGAGGGACGAAGGCCAGGGGAGCAAACCGGAUUAGAUACCCGGGUAGUCCUGGCUGUAAACGAUGCGGACUUUGUGUCGGACAAGCUAUGAGCUUGUCCGGUGCCGGAGGGAAACCGUUAAGUCCGCCGCCUGGGGAGUACGGCCGCAAGGCUGAAACUUAAAGGAAUUGGCGGG